AGCGAACGCUGGCGGCAGGCCUAACACAUGCAAGUCGAACGAACUCUUCGGAGUUAGUGGCGGACGGGUGAGUAACACGUGGGAACGUGCCUUUUGGUUCGGAAUAACUCAGGGAAACUUGUGCUAAUACCGAAUGUGCCCUUCGGGGGAAAGAUUUAUCGCCAUUAGGGCGGCCCGCGUCUGAUUAGCUAGUUGGUGAGGUAACGGCUCACCAAGGCGACGAUCAGUAGCUGGUCUGAGAGGAUGACCAGCCACACUGGGACUGAGACACGGCCCAGACUCCUACGGGAGGCAGCAGUGGGGAAUCUUGCGCAAUGGGCGAAAGCCUGACGCAGCCAUGCCGCGUGAAUGAUGAAGGUCCUAGGAUUGUAAAAUUCUUUCACCGGGGACGAUAAUGACGGUACCCGGAGAAGAAGCCCCGGCUAACUUCGUG
This 433-nucleotide ribosomal RNA is filed under the name uncultured bacterium. RNAcentral describes it as "partial 16S ribosomal RNA". It matches the Rfam family "Bacterial small subunit ribosomal RNA", at positions 29 to 507 of the family's 1533-position model. The record is from RNAcentral.